RNAcentral lists this ribosomal RNA (386 nucleotides) under uncultured bacterium. RNAcentral's name for it is "bacterial SSU rRNA". It matches the Rfam family "Bacterial small subunit ribosomal RNA", at positions 28 to 417 of the family's 1533-position model. The record is from RNAcentral.
GACGGACGCUGGCGGCGUGCUUAACACAUGCAAGUCGAGCGGUAAGGCCCUUCGGGGUACACGAGCGGCGAACGGGUGAGUAACACGUGGGUGACCUGCCUCUAGCUCUGGGAUAAGCCUGGGAAACUGGGUCUAAUACCGGAUAUGACUCCACGGCGCAUGUUGUGGGGUGGAAAGCCUUGUGUGGCUAGAGAUGGGCCCGCGGCCUAUCAGCUUGUUGGUGGGGUGAUGGCCUACCAAGGCGACGACGGGUAGCCGGCCUGAGAGGGCGACCGGCCACACUGGGACUGAGACACGGCCCAGACUCCUACGGGAGGCAGCAGUGGGGAAUCUUGCGCAAUGGGCGAAAGCCUGACGCAGCGACGCCGCGUGAGGGAUGACGGCCU